RNAcentral lists this non-coding RNA (30 nucleotides) under Mus musculus (house mouse). Lineage: Eukaryota; Metazoa; Chordata; Mammalia; Rodentia; Muridae. The record is from RNAcentral.
UGUGACUGCCAAGAGAUGCGCAUGUGCAGC